This 505-nucleotide ribosomal RNA is filed under the name uncultured bacterium. RNAcentral's name for it is "partial 16S ribosomal RNA". It matches the Rfam family "Bacterial small subunit ribosomal RNA", at positions 28 to 507 of the family's 1533-position model. The record is from RNAcentral.
GACGAACGCUGGCGGCGUGCCUAAUACAUGCAAGUAGAACGCACAGUUUAUACCGUAGCUUGCUACACCAUAGACUGUGAGUUGCGAACGGGUGAGUAACGCGUAGGUAACCUGCCUGGUAGCGGGGGAUAACUAUUGGAAACGAUAGCUAAUACCGCAUAAUAUUGAUUAUUGCAUGGUAAUUGAUUGAAAGAUGCUAUUGCAUCACUACCAGAUGGACCUGCGUUGUAUUAGCUAGUAGGUGAGGUAACGGCUCACCUAGGCGACGAUACAUAGCCGACCUGAGAGGGUGAUCGGCCACACUGGGACUGAGACACGGCCCAGACUCCUACGGGAGGCAGCAGUAGGGAAUCUUCGGCAAUGGACGAAAGUCUGACCGAGCAACGCCGCGUGAGUGAAGAAGGUUUUCGGAUCGUAAAGCUCUGUUGUAAGGGAAGAACGGGUGUGAGAGUGGAAAGUUCACACUGUGACGGUAUCUUACCAGAAAGGGACGGCUAACUACGUG